CCUACGGGGGGCAGCAGUGGGGAAUUUUUGACAAUGGGGGAAACCCUGAUCAAGCAACGCCGCGUGGAUGAUGAAGUAUCUCGGUACGUAAAAUCCUUUCGACAGGGAAGAAGCCUUCGGGUUGACGGUACCUGUAGAAGAAGCCCCGGCUAACUCCGUGCCAGCAGCCGCGGUAAUACGGGGGGGGCAAGCGUUGUUCGGAUUUACUGGGCGUAAAGGGCGCGUAGGCGGUUCGUUAAGUCGGAUGUGAAAACUCUGGGCUCAACCCAGAGCCUGCAUCCGAUACUGGCGGACUAGAGUGCGAGAGGGGAAAGCGGAAUUCCUGGUGUAGCGGUGAAAUGCGUAGAUAUCAGGAGGAACACCGGCGGCGAAGGCGGCUUUCUGGAUCGCAACUGACGCUGAGGCGCGAAAGCUAGGGGAGCAAACAGGAUUAGAUACC
Molecule: ribosomal RNA, 439 nt
Filed under: uncultured Granulicella sp.
Lineage: Bacteria; Pseudomonadati; Acidobacteriota; Terriglobia; Terriglobales; Acidobacteriaceae
Description: bacterial SSU rRNA
Rfam family: Bacterial small subunit ribosomal RNA
Source: RNAcentral